RNAcentral lists this ribosomal RNA (560 nucleotides) under uncultured bacterium. Its description in RNAcentral is "partial 16S ribosomal RNA". It matches the Rfam family "Bacterial small subunit ribosomal RNA", at positions 355 to 907 of the family's 1533-position model. The record is from RNAcentral.
UGGGGAAUAUUGCACAAUGGGCGCAAGCCUGAUGCAGCCAUGCCGCGUGUGUGAAGAAGGCCUUCGGGUUGUAAAGCACUUUCAGCGAGGAGGAAGGUGGUGAACUUAAUACGUUCAUCAAUUGACGUUACUCGCAGAAGAAGCACCGGCUAACUCCGUGCCAGCAGCCGCGGUAAUACGGAGGGUGCAAGCGUCAAUCGGAAUUACUGGGCGUAAAGCGCACGCAGGCGGUUUGUUAAGUCAGAUGUGAAAUCCCCGGGCUCAACCUGGGAACUGCAUUUGAAACUGGCAAGCUAGAGUCUCGUAGAGGGGGGUAGAAUUCCAGGUGUAGCGGUGAAAUGCGUAGAGAUCUGGAGGAAUACCGGUGGCGAAGGCGGCCCCCUGGACGAAGACUGACGCUCAGGUGCGAAAGCGUGGGGAGCAAACAGGAUUAGAUACCCUGGUAGUCCACGCUGUAAACGAUGUCGAUUUGGAGGUUGUGCCCUUGAGGCGUGGCUUCCGGAGCUAACGCGUUAAAUCGACCGCCUGGGGAGUACGGCCGCAAGGUUAAAACUCAAAUG